UACGUAGGGUGCGAGCGUUAAUCGGAAUUACUGGGCGUAAAGCGUGCGCAGGCGGUUGGACAAGACAGAGGUGAAAUCCCCGGGCUUAACCUGGGAACGGCCUUUGUGACUGUACGGCUAGAGUGUGUCAGAGGGGGGUAGAAUUCCACGUGUAGCAGUGAAAUGCGUAGAGAUGUGGAGGAAUACCGAUGGCGAAGGCAGCCCCCUGGGAUAACACUGACGCUCAUGCACGAAAGCGUGGGGAGCAAACAGGAUUAGAAACCCCAGUAGUCC
Molecule: ribosomal RNA, 273 nt
Filed under: uncultured bacterium
Lineage: Bacteria
Description: partial 16S ribosomal RNA
Rfam family: Bacterial small subunit ribosomal RNA
Source: RNAcentral